CCAGCCGUCCAGUAUCGGCGAGUGCACUGCUCAGCUGAGGUGCUUGAAGUAGAUGAAAAACCAGUGGUCCAAGGGUUCAGUGACUCGCUUAUGAGUUUGAGUGGCGCAUUCGGGGGCGCCGUCUCCGGCACCAUUCUCACGCUCUACACCUUCGGCGGCCUCAACGCCGCGGCCUUGAUACCCGUGAUUUUGAUUGUCCUCGCCACCGCGUACUCGAGCAGGUGGAGCAAUGAAAAAUCUCACUCCCGAGAUUUUUAUCGAGAGUGAGAUUUGUGACCCCAGCGGGAUUUGAACCCGCGCUACUGCCGUGAGAGGGCAGCGUCCUAGGCCGCUAAACGAUGGGGCCCUAGUUGCAACCUAGAAAUCAUGCCACAAUCCGCCCCAAUGGGCAAUCUAGCGGCUCAGUAGGGAUAGGCCAGCUGGGUGAAGUUCGACCGAGAACGGGGCCGGUCCAAUGAUCUCGCCAUCGCAGGUCAUUGGGAACCCGUCAUUCUCAAUUCUCACCUUUGAUGCCUUGAAUAUCUCCACCUCCGAAUAGCGAACAUGCUCGCCCUUGUACACCUUGGGACAUAUCUCCAGCAACUUGGGUCUGGAGACCUCAUGCAGUAUGAACACCUCAAGCUCACCAUCGGUGAUUUCGGACUGGGGAGAGAUUUUCAUGCCGCCGCCAAAGUUCUUUACAUUGGCGACGCCGCAGAGCAUUGCCUUGAACACUCGUGAGACACCAUCGGCCUCGAUUCGAUAUUCAAUGGGCUUGAACCUUGGAAGCUCCAAGAACAGGGCGGCGACAUAAGAAUUUGGUCCCUUGGGCCAAACCAGUCGGUUGGCUCUCUCCGCACAGAGCGCAUCAAAGCCAGCGGAAAUAGACCCGAGCGACCAAAACUUUCGGUAGUCAGUCUCCACCCACAUCACAUCAACAUUUCUUGGGCACUCAAGCGCGCCAACAAUGUUCGCAACUGCGGCGGCUGGCAC
RNAcentral lists this transfer RNA (972 nucleotides) under uncultured bacterium. Its description in RNAcentral is "partial 16S ribosomal RNA". The record is from RNAcentral.